UUCGCCCUCUUCGAUCGCUGAAGCUACGCUGUUUUCAUGGCUUUUCAAGAGAAGAAACUGAUCAAUAACCCAAAUGAUGUGGUAACUGAGUACAUUGAAGGUCUAGCUGAAACAUAUCCUGGCUUGCAGUACUUGGAUGGUUUUCCUGAGGUCAAGGUUGUUUUACGUGCUGAUGUUUCGAGUGAUACAUAUGACAAGGUUGCAAUUAUAUCAGGUGGAGGUAGUGGACAUGAA
Molecule: unclassified non-coding RNA, 234 nt
Filed under: Hevea brasiliensis (rubber tree)
Lineage: Eukaryota; Viridiplantae; Streptophyta; Magnoliopsida; Malpighiales; Euphorbiaceae
Source: RNAcentral